Dromaius novaehollandiae (emu) is the source of this 3081-nucleotide long non-coding RNA. RefSeq lists it as uncharacterized. The transcript has 6 exons. Lineage: Eukaryota; Metazoa; Chordata; Aves; Casuariiformes; Dromaiidae. The record is from RefSeq and is a predicted model, not a curated record.
CUCCCGCCGCGAAGCGCCGCGCGCGCCGCAGUCGCCUCACAGCGCCGGCUCUGAGGCGACGGGGCGGCGGCGGGCUGCGGGCUGAGGCGCGGCGGGCAGCGGCGGGCAGCGCCGCGGGAGGCGGCUCCCCGCACGCUCCGGCUCGGGCGCCGCAGGGCGCGCCAGCAGCAUUUCCAGUGCUGCGACGGGCUCUGUCGGCGGUGUCCGUGACAGAGGUGUUCGUAACGGUGUGGCAGACUGGAACACAUGAGCAGCGCUGCCGGCUAGCCGUUAGCAGAGCCGAGGUGCCGACUGUGCAGGGCAAGAGUCUGAGAUUUAUUUGCACAUGAAAGUUAUUAGAGAAUAUGAAUUUAAAUAGAAUAGCUGUUUUCCAGAAUAAUGCCACGUGUGGAAAGUCUUACUACAGAAAUACACCACCUUUCAUCUUUCCACACUAUGCAGAUGAUAAGGAGCCUUCCUUUCUUGUGGAAAUGUAUCCUUGUUCUGAAAAUUUGAAGUUCUUAUCAGUUGUGCUAGCCCCAAUUCCUGAAAAAUAAUGCCAGAGAUAUUCAGUGAUGUGUAUUUUGAUGGAACAUCUCAAUGAAUCAUUGCUGGAUUUCCUGGAAUCUGGGUUGCUUAUUAUUCUGAACAAUUCUUCUUCGAAUAGAUUGCUGUUGAAAUCAGUCACAUUCUGAAUCAUUAUCACUGGUGAAAAUGUGCAGAGCUGGCGUUCACAAGUACUUAUGCUGGAGGAACCUUACGGAAUUCCACAAGGACAAAUGCGCAGUGCUGCACUUGAGAAGGAAGAACUCCUUCCAGUGAUACAGGCUGAGGAUGGCCUGCCUGGGGGCAGCUCUGCUGAAAAGGCCCUGGGGGUCCUGGUAGACAGAAGCUGGGCAUGAGGCAGCCGUAUGCCCUGGCAACAAGGGUCGACAGCGUCCUGGGAUGUAUUAACAGCAGCACAGCCAGUAGUAGAUCAAGGGCAGUGAUUACCCCCCUACUUGGCACUCAUUAGACCAUAAUACUGUGUUUUGGGGCAGUUUGGGGGCCCCCCAGUACAAGAAAGAUACCAGUAAACUGGAGCAAGUUCAACAGAGGGUCGCUGAGAGGCUGAGGGAAUGGAGCUUGUUGAGCCUGGAGAAGAGGCUUCAGAGGGGCCUCAUAGUAGCCAUCCAGUGCAGACAAGAAGGUUCUCAAGAAGAUGGAGCCAAGCUCUUCACAGCAGUGCAUGGUGGGAGGGCAAGAGACAACAGGCAUGAGCCGAAGCAACACAGUUUCAGAUUGGCUGUAAGGAGAAACUUUCAGUGUGAGGACAGUCGAGCCAUGGAGCAGGUUGCCGAGAGAAGCUGAGCAAUCUCCACCGUUACAGAUUUUCAAGACCAGACUGGAUAAAGCUCUCAGUAACCUGCUUCUGACCCCGUAGCUGACCUUGCUUUGAGCAGCAGGUUGGACUAGAGAUCUCCUGAAGAGCCUUCUAACCUGAAUUAUCCUAUCACUCUAAAACGGAAAUACUUCUUUAUCAGGGAAGGCUCAUGCUACAUUAUUCUCACUUUUGUUGUCAGCAGACACUGAUAACCUGUUUUCAGCACAUCCUGAACAAGAGCCUUACUUUGUGCCACUGCAGUCAGCCAGACUUUUUUCAUUUCCCAUGUCCCUGGUACAAAUCAGAAAAAGAACUAAAUAAUCCCAGGCAUUCUUCUCUUAUUGGUGGCUGUGGUGGUGGUAAGAGCAACAGUAGUGGUAAAAUCAUGCAGAACAAAUGGGAGUCUGUGGCUCUUCGUGGGUCUGUGAGCCAGAGAAAUGCCUUAUAUCCCGGCUAUGUUGGCUAUGCUCUAUGUUUCUGUGAGGAUCAGUAACAGAAAAAGCUGUCAUAACAAUUUGAUUGAAGACCUUAACACUUACUUGUCCAGUCCUUUAAUUCUUACUCGAGGUCAUGACAUCAGUUUCAACAGUGCUAUUUUGCCAAUUGUAUAACGUAAUAAACGUGGCAUCAAGGUAAUUAGAAAUAGAAGAAAAUACAGAUUAGUUAGAGAAGGACAAAUAUUGAAGUCUUCACUUACACAAAACCUCCACUGAUGUUUCAGGAUCUCACACAUUAUGCAUGUGCAGAAUUUAUAAUAAAAAAUAUGUUAGUAUCAAUCCUGUGCUUCAAGGCACCAAACUGAUCUUCAGCUAAAGUUAAGUAUAUCUUCCUCUUUUCUAGUAUCGCAUAAUUAAGUGCAACAAGGUUUUUAACUCCUUCAAACAUCAGAAUUGCCUCGUGUCAGACGAUGGUUUGGAUUAGCUAUGCUAUUGGUCUGUUGCAGAACGGCUUUCUUCUAAUCACAUCCCUCUCUGUCAAGCAGGGAACUUUUAUAUUGGAAAAAUAAUUCACAAGCAGUGAAAGAAAAAAGUAAAUCUCAAGCACACAUAACUUUUGUACUGGAAUAAGUAUAUGCAGUUGCACAAACCACUCAGUCUUAACACAUGGAAAUUGGUACAAGAGACCUAUGUUCAUAUGUAUCAUUUUAGAAGGCACAUUGAAAGACAUUACUUGCUUUAUACUGCUUCCAACUCCAUACAGUAAGAAGUGCUUAAGUAAAGAUGCACCAACUGGUUUUCAUUUUUAAACCACUAUUUUGGUUUUUAAACAGAGUAUAUCAAUAUAAAAAUGGUGAAAACCUGACCGAGGUGAAGCAGCACAAAUAGCUGCUGUGAGAAGUGAACAGCUACUGUGGUCUGCAAACAUAGGCAUCUCGGGCUCAAACUCAGGAGAAUGACAUUAGGGCACUUUUUCUGCAACUGCUUUUAACUGUGGGCAAGGAGGCUCCUGGCAAUCUGCUUCAUUAUGUAAAGUGAAUCAUGGACAAGAGGAAUGGCCAAAGUGGUAUUUAUAGUGAAGGGCACAACAGUGAAGUAAAAUCUUAGAAGAAUCCCCCAGACCUCCUGGAGUUUAGAUGAUGACUCAGCUUGACAGCAACUGGUAGCAGGCCACCUGGUCAGGAAGAAGUGGAUGAGCCUUUCUUCAGACAACUGGAAGAAGCUUCACAUUCACAUGGGGGGACUUCACGGGGGACUUUAACCACCGUGAUAUCUGCUGGAAGAAUGGCACAGAAAGGCACA